UCCAUCCAUGUGGAAACGCAUUUUUCUCCAGGAAGAGGGUGUUAAUUACCAAUAUGAAAUGAUUUUCUGGCAACUAGAGUUGUUUUCCGUUACCAUGGACUGGUUCAAGUCUUGUAUAUAUGUCACGCCCAUCAUGAAAUAUUGCUUGUAUUUGAUUGGAGGUUCAAGUCAUCCUAUGUUUCUUUCAUUAAUUAAUUUCUCCUCUGUUCAUAAAACUAUGGUAUGAAAGAUGCAGCCAUCAAGUACAGGAAAAAGAGUUUUUCUCUGGGUCUCACAUGAGUUUGCUUAGCAAUAUAGAAUUAUGAUUCUUUUUUCAGUUCUCCAACAAGAAAAAGAAGAUUCUUUAGAGUCUUGUUAUAAAUUUAUCAUAGAACCUUUCUUGUUCAAAAUUUUCCCUGUGAAAGUUCCACGAAACUCACCAACUCCAAUUGAUUGAGGGGAGCUUUACUUUUGCAAGUGACAUAAUAUCAUCUGAUUGCAAUGAGUUGUCAUGGAGUUGAAAAUUGAAUCCAAUGCUAAUAAAGUAAUAAUAUCAUGUGUAUGUAUCUCC
This 550-nucleotide long non-coding RNA is filed under the name Theobroma cacao (cacao). RNAcentral describes it as "long non-coding RNA (TCAC_LNC004979)". The record is from RNAcentral. Lineage: Eukaryota; Viridiplantae; Streptophyta; Magnoliopsida; Malvales; Malvaceae.